Non-coding RNA from Trichobilharzia regenti, 49 nucleotides. Lineage: Eukaryota; Metazoa; Platyhelminthes; Trematoda; Strigeidida; Schistosomatidae. The record is from Rfam.
AUACAGUUGACGAGUCCCAAAUAGGAUGAAAUGCGCAUCCUGGCUGGAU